GCUAAAUAGUAUAUUUUUUGACACGCAAAGACCCAGACGGUGUUCCAUAGAAAUCCUGGUUGAGAAUGAAACCACUGAACAAAUGAACAACAAAACAGCACAGCAAUUGAAACUGGGAUUAAUCUAUGACGAGCACACUUCUCCAGCAUGCCAGUGGCCAUCGACGGUUAGCAUUUGCCCACUGAAGUCUGUUAUGAUGCUGAACUGCAGUCAGGUCAAGACCCUGGUGAGGAUGACAAGCACGCAGAUGAGCUUCCCUGAGACGUUUGGCAGUUUGUGCAGAAAUUCUUUGGUUGUGCAAACCCACUGUUUUAUCAGCUGUCUGGGUGGCUGGUGUCAGACCAUUCCGCAGGUGAAGAAGCCGGAUGCUGA
This is a long non-coding RNA of Oncorhynchus tshawytscha (Chinook salmon), 372 nucleotides long. The record is from Ensembl. NCBI's taxonomy places the organism in Eukaryota, Metazoa, Chordata, Actinopteri, Salmoniformes, Salmonidae.